GAAAACGUCCUCUUCUUUUAUUGUUUCCGAGCCAUUGGUUCAUUGGAGUUCGCCGUAGCUCAUUUUCUGGUGGUGAGAAGUCUUCUCCAAAGCUCAUCUUCUGGUGGUAAGAAAUCUUCAACUCAUUUUUUCAGUUUGCUGCACAAAAAGAGAUGUUCCUUGUGUUCACCCCGAAAUUGAGCUUCUUUCUCCUUUUUCUUUUGGUAAUCAACUGUCUGCAUCCUCUCUGUCGAGGAUUAGAGUCGUGUGUUCCAGCUCUGAGGCUCUGUGUAAGUAUUCUUUCACUCCCAUUCUUCUUUGUUCCUUUCUUCUUGUGGUUGAUUCUUCAUUAUCUUUCAAAUGUAAAGGUGGUUGGACAUACCCAAGAUGCUCCUAGGAUAAAUUUAACUUCUUGGACAUUCAUCUGGAUGCAAGCUCAUUGUCGCUAAUCUGGUUCCCAUAUCCUCAUUUUUCCUCUGGAAUCUGUUUUUGUCAGCUUACCUAGCUUUGGCUAGUUAUUAUUCUCACAACUAUUUUGCCCUGAAAAUUGCCACAAACUAAUUUGUAAUUGUAAUAGUUGUGAAAUACUACCCUUUAAUGUGGUUCCCCCUCAUGUUUGACUCUGAUUGACUGUAAUCUUCCUUGUUUUAAUUCUAAUGGUAGGAAUGCCCUUUUUAUCCAUGUUUAGAAUUCUCCUUCCCAUGUUAGAUAAUUAAUUGAAGCUGUGAAACUGUUGUAAUUCUACUUGACUGAUAACAGUAUUUGUGAUGUGAUCUGCUAGUUGAUUUGCCUCUCUAAAAGUAUACUCAAUUUGUACAUUUAGCCGAUUCAUCAUCUCUUUGAUCUUCUCUAUCUUCUCUGUUAUCUCCCAUGGCACUUUCCAUGUACUUCUAAUUAUUUGCUUUAAACUUAAUGAGUCAGUUUCCAGCUGAAUAUUA
Solanum tuberosum (potato) is the source of this 917-nucleotide long non-coding RNA. RefSeq lists it as uncharacterized. The transcript is spliced from 2 exons. NCBI's taxonomy places the organism in Eukaryota, Viridiplantae, Streptophyta, Magnoliopsida, Solanales, Solanaceae. The record is from RefSeq and is a predicted model, not a curated record.